AAACAGCCAAGGAAGGACAAAACCUACCUCUGACCACAAAGAGAACUCAAACCUCCUCCAUUUCCGGUCAACGAGGCUUUUAUAGGUGGCCAACCGACUCUCCUUCGGCGGCCUAAACUGCAUGCGAAACCAUGCAAUGUUCGGCGGCCGAACCUGGCAAUUGUCCCCUUGGUCUUUUCCUUUGCAAAACUCAAUUUGCUUAAGCAAAAACAUAAAAACAUGUUAAAACAUUUUGAAAAACCUCAAUUUUACCCUUAUGGCAGGCUCCGACAUCCCUGAAUCCCAGAUUUCAACGGAGAGUCCGCCGGAAAGUAAGAAUUCCGAUGUCGGGAUCUAGCCGGAUAUUACAUUUUCAAUAAGUCUACUAUAAUUUAGUAUAAUAAUCUAGUUUUAAUUCGCUUAAAUAUAUGACGCACUAUUAUAUUUUGCUUUAUUAAAUUUUAUUAUUUUAUCGUAUAAUAUAAUUUUUAAAUUUAUUUUUUAUUUGGCAAAAGUUAAGAUAUUAUGUAUUCUAAAUAAAUUUCGUAACCUCAUGAGUGGAGUUUUAUCUCACCAAGUUGUGUUAUAGUGGGGAAUUACAUUUGCUGUGCAGCUUUUUUUUUUUUUUUUAAUUUUCUCAUUUUAUGUGUAUUUGGGCUUAAUGUAUUGGAUUAUUGUUAAUAUUGGGCUGUUAGGCUUUUUUUAAGACCUUUUAAUGAAUUUUUUUUUUAUCAAAAAUAUAUCAAUCAUUUAAAAAAGCUAUAAAAUUUAAUAUUAUAUAAAAGGGACAAAGCUUAUAAAAUAAGCCUAUUAAUAUAAGGAUUCUUAUAGUUUAAAAAAUGUAGUAAUCCAACAGCUCAUAAAAAUUUUAAAGAUCCAAUUUGAAUAAUCGACUUUCUUACUUAGUAGAAAUAAAUUACCGUUUCUUUUUUUUUAAAUUUCUCGACUAUUUUCGAUAAUCAAAAAGAUAAAGUUUGUUAUUUCAAACAUAGUCAAAAUCUAAAACAACCAAUUAAAACACAAAUAGCAAACACAAGUUAAAAAUUGACAGACACAUACACAACAAUUAAAGAAAGAAGGACGAUAUUGAAAAGGAUGAUAUUGCACACUCUAAAAAGGAAAGCAGGGACUUCUUCAAUCGCAUUAAGCUCAACUUCUUAAAAUAUGAAAAGACUUCCAAAUCUUCUAUUCGACAAAGGAUAGAGGAGAAAACAACUAGAAAUGACUAAUCUCAAAUGGGAUUUUUUACCACUAGAUAAACACACAUGACAAGACUAUGAUCAGAAAUGGCUAGCCUUCAUCAUUAGACAAACACACAUGACAAGACUACAACAAAAAAUGACUAGCUUUAACGCCAAACUCUUAGUGAGGGGGGGGAAGAGCCACCCACUCGAUAAAAGCAGGGAUAACAAUGACUCAUGACAUAGACAAAACGCACUCUUAGUGAGGGGAGGGAAGAGCCACCCUGACAUCUCAAAAGAAAGAGAACCAUAGGAUUCUCAUAAAACUUUUUAUUUUAAUCUUUUCUAAAGAUAUUUUUUAAGACCUUUUAUUUUUCUUGCUGUAAUAAUAUUAUACAUAUCAAUUUAGCAGGAGCGGUUCCACACUUGUACUCUCGUACAUUUUAAUUCAAUUUUUAAUUUUCACUGAAAACCAAAUUAAAAGCAGAAUGGAUCCAUGCUGAAUCAAACUACCUUGUCUAUAAACAAGCUGACAACGUCAUCAUUUGGAGAGAAUCCCAUUAAUUCCCUGUUUCGAGCAACUGCCAAUUUUCAACUUCACAACUUCCUUUUCCAUGAAAUUUUCUUAACAAUUUCUGUUUUUUCUUUUUAAUAAAGAUAAAGCAUUUUGUUUUUAAUAUUUACUCCUGAUUUGAAGAAAAAGAAAAACACAGAAUUACGAGAAAUAAGAACAACACUAGACUCUAUUUAUCCAUCAAAAUUGAGAAACUGUUCAUAACUAUGCAUGAAAGCAAAUUCCCAUAUCUCUCCUUCCUCUCCACCAGUUCAUGAAUCUCAAUUAAUUAUCCAAAGAUAAUAUUUACAUCAACACAAGGAAGCUUUAAAAGAAAAACAGAGGAUCUACCACACAACCAGAGAAUGGAAAUGGUCUCCUCUAAAAGAAGCGAAACUGGAAUCUAUGAAUCGCCAACCGAGAUGGGUCUUGCACCUAACCCCAACGGAGAGCGAGAGAGAUGGCGGCCGCCAUUAAUUUCUUUGAGAACAGGUCUAAUCUCAGAUUUCCCUGGAGACCAAUCCAUGAUUUUAUUAUUUGAUUCUUGCUUGAUCUUAAUCACUUGACUGUGAAGUGGGAAACCCAUAUCAACUCCAAAAUCUUCUUUCCCAACAAUCUUCUGUUCCAUCUUCUACAAAAGCUUCAACGCCAUAGGAGUUUGUUUAUAAACGAGUGGAAAGCGAAGAAAGUUGAUGAGACGUAGAAGAUGAGGGAAGAAAACAGAGGAAGUUGGGCAGGAAAAUUCCGAGUUUGCAUCGUUUCAACUUUCAGCGACUAUUUGAGACCGUGUUGAAGAUAAGAUCAAAUUUUUUCAUCGUUAUCCCAACCGCGAAUUUUGGCGCGUGUUUUAGCUUUUCCGGAGGUUUCGUGUUCUGUUUUCGUCGCGCUACUUUCUCGCCUGUGGAUAGUAACCCGACUAUGGACUUUCAAAACUUUAGCUAUCAAGUUUUUAUGAGACGCGUGUUAAAAAACUAAUCUAAUUUCUCUAUAUAU
Molecule: long non-coding RNA, 2706 nt
Filed under: Manihot esculenta (cassava)
Lineage: Eukaryota; Viridiplantae; Streptophyta; Magnoliopsida; Malpighiales; Euphorbiaceae
Description: long non-coding RNA (MESC_LNC003167)
Source: RNAcentral